GGACCAGGCUACUAUGUCUUGGCCUGGGACUGAGGACUGGAGGUUAGGACCAGGCUACUAUGUCCUGGCCUGGGGCUGAGGACUGGAGGUUAGGACCAGGCUACUAUAUACUGGCCCGGGAUUGAGGACUGGAGGUUAGGACCAGGCUACUAUAUCCUGGCCUGGGGCUGAGGACUGGAGGUUAGGACCAGGCUACUAUAUCCUGGCCCGGGAUUGUGGACUGGAGGUUAGGACCAGGCUACUAUAUCCUGGCCUGGGAUGGAGGACUGGAGGUUAGGACCAGGCUACUAUAUCCUGGCCUGGGGCUGAGGACUGGAGGUUAGGACCAGGCUACUAUAUCCUGGCCUGGGAUGGAGGACUGGAGGUUAGGACCAGGCUACUAUAUCCUGGCCUGGGGCUGAGGACUGGAGGUUAGGACCAGGCUACUAUAUCCUGGCCUGGGGCUGAGGACUAGAGGUUAGGACCAGGCUACUAUAUCCUGGCCUGGGGCUGAGGACUGGAGGUUAGGACCAGGCUACUAUAUCCUGGCCUGGGGCUGAGGACUGGAGGUUAGGACCAGGCUACUAUAUCCUGGGACUGAGGACUGGAGGUUAGGACCAGACUACUAUAUCCUGGCCUGGGACUGAGGACUGGAGGUUAGGACCAGGCUACUAUAUCCUGGGACUGAGGACUGGAGGUUAGGACCAGGCUACUAUAUCCUGGCCUGGGACUGAGGACUGGAGGUUAGGACCAGGCUACUAUAUCCUGGCCUGGGACUGAGGACUGGAGGUUAGGACCAGGCUACUAUAUCCUGGCCUGGGACUGAGGACUGCAGGUUAGGUUAGGAGAUUGUCCAUACUAGACAUGGGUUCAAAUGGUAUUUGUUUUCUGUUUAAACACUUUAGAGGAUGUUUGAUUGAGCUUGUCUGGCUGCAGUGGAUUAGUGCUUUAGUCCCUGAUCAGUCUAACACUGAGUACACCAGAAGGGGAUGAGAGACACACUCUGGAACGCUGAGUACACAGGAAAGGGAUGAGAGACACACUCUGGAACGCUGAGUACACAGGAAGGGGAUGAGAGACACACACUCUGGAACGCUGAGUACACAGGAAGGAGAUGAGACACACACUCUGGAACGCUGAGUACACAGGAAGGGGAUGAGACACACACUCUGGAACGCUGAGUACACAGGAAAGGGAUGAGAGACACACUCUGGAACGCUGAGUACACAGGAAGGGGAUGAGACACACACUCUGGAACGCUGAGUACACAGGAAGGGGAUGAGACACGCACUCUGGAACGCUGAGUACACAGGAAGGGGAUGAGACACACACUCUGGAACGCUGAGUACACAGGAAGGGGAUGAGACACACACUCUGGAAUUCUGAGUACACAGGAACAGAUGUAAUUUAGCCCUUAGGUUUUUAAAGCUACUGCUGACAGUGCAGCGAAAAUCUGUCUGUCUGCAUCCUCACAAACCUGCGGCAUCUUUCUGACUUUAACCUCAGAGCUGGGGGCUGUCCUGAACCUCUGUAGAUCACUCCUGUUGCAAACACUGCCUGGCGGGGUGGGGGGUAGACCUAGACCCAGUCUGCUGCUGAAGGGGGUACGGAACUCCCCACCACCCCGGGUAGGGGUGGCCCGGGGAGGCGGACGAGACCCCCUCUCAUAGCCUGGCUCUCCUGAGAACAUGGAGUGUCUGCCCGACUGCACUGGGCUGGUUAACCCUGUUGUUCCUCUAGUGAAGGACCUAUUCUCCUGACUGGUCUCCUUUUCUUCUGUCCCUGAGCUGAUGACCUGGUGGAGGGAGGGAGGACUAUGGGGUGAGGACAACAUACCUGAAGAAGUGCGUUGACCUCUUACGAGCCACAUCUUUAACGUGACCCUAUGGGCCCUAGAUAACAGUAGUGCCCUACACAGGGGUAAAGGUGGCUAACAGUAGUGCCCUACAUGGGGGGAAAUGUGGCUAACAGUAGUGCCCUACAUGGGGGGGAAAUGUGGCUAAAAGUAGUGACCUACAUAGGGGUAAAGGUGGCUAACAGUAGUGCCCUACAUAGGGGUAAAGGUGGCUAACAGUAGUGCCCUACACAGGGGUAAAGGUGGCUAACAGUAGUGCCCUACACAGGGGUAAAGGUGGCUAACAGUAGUGCCCUACACAGGGGUAAAGGUGGCUAACAGUAGUGCCCUACACAGGGGUAAAGGUGGCUAACAGUAGUGACCUACACAGGGGUAAAGAUGGCUAACAGUAGUGCCCUACACAGGGGUAAAGGUGGCUAACAGUAGUGCCCUACACAGGGGUAAAGGUGGCUAACAGUAGUGCCCUACACAGGGGUAAAGGUGGCUAACAGUAGUGCCCUACACAGGGGUAAAGGUGGCUAACAGUAGUGCCCUAUAUAGGGGUAAAGGUGGCUAACAGUAGUGCCCUACACAGGGGUAGAGGUGGCUAACAGUAGUGCCCUAUAUAGGGGUAAAGGUGGCUAACAGUAGUGCCCUACACAGGGGUAGAGGUGGCUAACAGUAGUGCCCUAUAUAGGGGUAAAGGUGGCCAACAGUAGUGCCCUACACAGGGGAGGAGGUGGCUAACAGUAGUGCCCUACACAGGGGUAGAGGUGGCUAACAGUAGUGCCCUACACAGGGGUAAAGGUGGCUAACAGUAGUGCCCUACACAGGGGUAGAGGUGGCUAACAGUAGUGCCCUACACAGGGGUAAAGGUGGCUAACAGUAGUGCCCUACACAGGGGUAAAGGUGGCUAACAGUAGUGCCCUACACAGGGGUAAAGGUGGCUAACAGUAGUGCCCUAUAUAGGGGUAAAGGUGGCUAACAGUAGUGCCCUACACAGGGGUAGAGGU
Molecule: non-coding RNA, 2826 nt
Organism: Oncorhynchus mykiss (rainbow trout)
Lineage: Eukaryota; Metazoa; Chordata; Actinopteri; Salmoniformes; Salmonidae
Source: RefSeq, a predicted model, not a curated record